AGGGAUUUAGGCUAAACCAGACCGAGGGCCUUCAAAGCCCUAAGCAAAUCACACAGAUUUAAUCCCUG
This 68-nucleotide transfer RNA is filed under the name Herpestes brachyurus hosei. Its description in RNAcentral is "tRNA-Trp". Lineage: Eukaryota; Metazoa; Chordata; Mammalia; Carnivora; Herpestidae. The record is from RNAcentral.